This 282-nucleotide ribosomal RNA is filed under the name uncultured prokaryote. RNAcentral describes it as "partial 16S ribosomal RNA". It matches the Rfam family "Bacterial small subunit ribosomal RNA", at positions 524 to 803 of the family's 1533-position model. The record is from RNAcentral.
UACGUAGGGGGCGAGCGUUGUCCGGAAUGAUUGGGCGUAAAGGGCGCGUAGGCGGCUUGUUAAGUCUGGAGUGGAAGUCCUCUUUUCAAGGGAGGAAUUGCUUUGGAAACUGGCGGGCUUGAGUGCAGGAGAGGUUAUCGGAAUUCCCGGUGUAGCGGUGAAAUGCGUAGAGAUCGGGAGGAACACCAGUGGCGAAGGCGGGUAACUGGACUGCAACUGACGCUGAGGCGCGAAAGUGUGGGGAGCAAACAGGAUUAGAUACCCCCGUAGUCCCUGAGCGGG